This 1030-nucleotide long non-coding RNA is filed under the name Vombatus ursinus (common wombat). RNAcentral's name for it is "lncRNA (ENSVURG00010022860.1)". Lineage: Eukaryota; Metazoa; Chordata; Mammalia; Diprotodontia; Vombatidae. The record is from RNAcentral.
GUCAUUUCCUCCUCUGAGACUCUGGGAUUCUGGGAGUCAGGCUCAUUCCUCCCCAGGCUCUGUGUCUGAUGCUCCAGGACCUUGUCAAUGUCACUGAACUGCUUUCUCCUCCUGGACCUUCCCUGUGCACUGGGGCCUUCUCCCCGUGGGCCAUCCCUCCACCAUGCUGUCCCCUCCUCCCCUUGGUGAGUUCCCCCAGGCCCUGCUUGGGGACAUCCAGGCUUCAUUCCCCUCCAGCUGUGCCUGUGACUCUGGAGGCUUCAGAGACACCCUGGGAUGGUGACUUCUCUUCCCCAUCACUGUGAGCCCCUUUCAGGGGUUAUCUUCUCCUAUUAGAAUGUAAGCUCCAGGAGCGCAGGGACUCCCUUUCCAUUGGUUUAAAUUGGAAUCCCCAGCACUUAGCACAGGCCUGAUACACAGGAAGGGAUUAAGAAAUGCUUGUUGCCUUGCCCUGCCCCCAAUCCAGAGCUUCCUCAAGACCAUCCAAAGGAACAAUCAUAACAGAAAGUGGGCCCAGCUUCUGCCCCCAAAUCCCCAGGGCUCCUGCUCCUCAGGCCUCCUAAGAGGCUGUUGAGGAAGAAAGCCAGGCACAUCCUCACUGUGGGCCUCACUUCCCCAUUGGUGAAAUGAGGUGGAUUGGACCAGGGGAUCUCUCAGCUCCCUUCCAGCUCUGGCCUUCAAUGAUGGAGUCCAAAGGGCCUGUUUUCAUCUGGAAUUCUAAGCAGAUUCUCCAAACCUUGAGGACCAUAGGGAGCCAAAGGCCAGAUAAGGAAUGGGAGUUCUCUCGGGGCCCGCAGAACCCCACCAUCAGAGUCGGGCAGACCACCCAGACCCCAGACCUGGGACACAUGCUGAGCCUCAGAGGACUUGGGGACAUCCUCCCAGCCUCAGAUCUUUCUGGGGCUCAGCUCCCCUUGAGAUCAUCCCCCCUGAGCCGGGCAUCCUUUUUCUUUCCAUCCUGAAAAAGCAAAGGACUGAGAUUUAUGUUGAUGGAGAAGGAACUCCCCAGGGAGGUCAUCACAGAUCUUGG